This 601-nucleotide long non-coding RNA is filed under the name Erythranthe guttata (spotted monkey flower). Its description in RNAcentral is "long non-coding RNA (EGUT_LNC003540)". The record is from RNAcentral. Lineage: Eukaryota; Viridiplantae; Streptophyta; Magnoliopsida; Lamiales; Phrymaceae.
GUUCGAAGCACAACAAAUUAAAGAUAUGCAACGGGAGAGGAGUGCCCUCGAUUCCUUUCUUGAACCAAUCGAUUUAAACCAAGGCUCUCUGCCCAACAACAACAAUAACCACUUCUUCCAUGGAUCACUCCUCUUGGGAUAACAUGCUAAACCCAGUCGAUAAUCAGUUGCCUAAUUACACGAGUCCCACUAAUGCUAUAGACGCCGCCCAAUGCUUCAGUGGGUGGGACCGCGGCGAAUCCAGCUCCGGCACUGCAAACAAUACCCACUGUAACAGGAAAAUGAGAAAGAGAAAACUGGAGAGAGAUUGUACCCAAUAAUUCAGAAGAUUGUACCCAAAUGAACGAAGAAGGAGGAGAAUGAUUGGAUGGAGAGAGAAUGUGUUAUAAUUAAUAAAUGUAUGAAAAUGGGCAAACCAGUAAUUUACCUAACAAAUUCAUAGAAAACUGUGUUAUCACCCAAACAAAACAUGAUAUUAUUAUUGCAGGUAUUACUAGUUUCUCCCCCAUAACUCCAACCAAAUAAUAUGACUAAUAUAAGUCAUCAUGCUUUUAAUCACAAUAUUAUGUAUCUCAUCCCAACUUAUAUAUCAAGACAUUCG